RNAcentral lists this ribosomal RNA (345 nucleotides) under uncultured Pseudomonadota bacterium. RNAcentral describes it as "bacterial SSU rRNA". It matches the Rfam family "Bacterial small subunit ribosomal RNA", at positions 29 to 351 of the family's 1533-position model. Lineage: Bacteria; Pseudomonadati; Pseudomonadota. The record is from RNAcentral.
AACGAACGCUGGCGGCGUGCCUAACACAUGCAAGUCGUACGAGAAAUCCUGGGCAACUGGGGAAAAGUAAAGUGGCGCACGGGUGAGUAACGCGUGGGUAACCUACCCUUGGAUUUGGGAUAACUCCGCGAAAGCGGGGGUUAAUACCGGAUGAUAUUCUGAUUUCUAAGGGGGAUCGGAAUCAAAGGUGGCCUCUGCAUGCAAGCUACUGUCUAAGGAUGGGCCCGCGUACCAUUAGCUAGUUGGUAGGGUAAUGGCCUACCAAGGCUCCGAUGGUUAGCUGGUCUUAGAGGAUGGCCAGCCACACUGGAACUGAGACACGGUCCAGACUCCGUACGGGAGCUG